Long non-coding RNA from Lethenteron reissneri (Far Eastern brook lamprey), 834 nucleotides. RefSeq lists it as uncharacterized. The record is from RefSeq and is a predicted model, not a curated record. Lineage: Eukaryota; Metazoa; Chordata; Hyperoartia; Petromyzontiformes; Petromyzontidae.
UUCGCUCUCGGAGUAAUUAAGCUCGGCGAACCCAAUUGACCCUCGCGUCAAGACGAGACGGCCGGGAGCUUCUGGCCGGCAGCCAGGGGAGGAGGAGCGGAAGUGCGGCACCACGGACCCUGGCCGCCGUACCCCCCCACCCCACCCACCGCUCGGACAAACGCGGAGAGGUCUGGUCGGGAACGGACGCGGUGGGACACAUCCCGGCACGCUUACGGCGCGACGAUGAACGCGGCGCUACCGGCUUCACCUGCCGCAUCAUCGCCCAGACGGCUCGCCGGGGCUGGUGAGCUUGCGGACGAGAGAUGAUGGGAGGAGGGAAUUCCCAAGUGCAGCAGUGCGAGGGAAGAAGCAGAAAGUGGAGUGACCUUCGGCGUGGCAAGUGAAUGGAAGCGCUCUCUUCCCGCGUCGCUGCCAGCAGCCGCCGUCUCUCCCAGACGGCCCCAGCUGAGUGCCGCUGCAGACAAAUGGAUUCCUCGGGCCUCGAGAUUGCAUUUUUUUUUUCAAAGUGAAUUCACAUCAUCUCCUCCCGGCGAUGCCGGGGAGAUAAAUAAAUAAACAUAUCACGGCGAGACGGGGAAACUCAACAGGUUUGCAACUGAGCACGUGCAGUAUCUCUCCCCCUCCAGCUCCCGCCACCCUCCCGCCCCCGUCAGCGACUUAAGAUAGAAAUCUCAGAGCGCCUUUUUCUGCUCUCCCCUUCAAAUUAGAGUUGGGGAGAGGCGUCGCCCGCCGCCCCCUGUUUAACAGCCAGCACCUGGGGGCGAUAUGGUGGAGAUUCCACCGGCCUAUGACGGGGACGGGUAUGUCCACAGAACAACAACCGUUUAUAAA